CCUACGGGAGGCAGCAGUGGGGAAUAUUGCACAAUGGGGGAAACCCUGAUGCAGCGACGCCGCGUGAAGGACGAAGUAUUUCGGUACGUAAACUUCUAUCAGCAGGGAAGAAAAUGACGGUACCUGACCAAGAAGCCCCGGCUAACUACGUGCCAGCAGCCGCGGUAAUACGUAGGGGGCAAGCGUUAUCCGGAUUUACUGGGUGUAAAGGGAGCGUAGACGGCCAUGCAAGUCUGAUGUGAAAACCCGGGGCUCAACCCCGGGACUGCAUUGGAAACUGUGCGGCUGGAGUGUCGGAGAGGCAAGUGGAAUUCCUAGUGUAGCGGUGAAAUGCGUAGAUAUUAGGAGGAACACCAGUGGCGAAGGCGGCUUGCUGGACGACGACUGACGUUGAGGCUCGAAAGCGUGGGGAGCAAACAGGAUUAGAUACCC
RNAcentral lists this ribosomal RNA (432 nucleotides) under uncultured bacterium. Its description in RNAcentral is "bacterial SSU rRNA". It matches the Rfam family "Bacterial small subunit ribosomal RNA", at positions 338 to 787 of the family's 1533-position model. The record is from RNAcentral.